RNAcentral lists this unclassified non-coding RNA (339 nucleotides) under soil metagenome. RNAcentral's name for it is "partial contains 5.8S ribosomal RNA, internal transcribed spacer 2, and large subunit ribosomal RNA". The stretch from base 1 to 120 matches the Rfam family "5.8S ribosomal RNA", at positions 35 to 154 of the family's 154-position model. The record is from RNAcentral.
GAUGAAGAACGUAGCGAAAUGCGAUAAGUAGUGUGAAUUGCAGAAUUCAGUGAAUCAUCGAAUCUUUGAACGCACAUUGCGCCCCUUGGUAUUCCAUGGGGCAUGCCUGUUCGAGCGUCAUUUGUACCCUCAAGCUCUGCUUGGUGUUGGGUGUUUGUUCCGCCUCUGUGUGUGAACUCGCCUCAAAACAAUUGGCAGCCGGCGUACUUGUUUCGGAGCGCAGCACAUUUUGCGAUCCAGAUCAACGUACAGCGGCAUCCAAGAAGCCUUAUUUAACGCUCUUGACCUCGGAUCAGGUAGGGAUACCCGCUGAACUUAAGCAUAUCAAUAAGCGGAGGA